AUUGAACGCUGGCGGCAGGCCUAAUACAUGCAAGUCGAACGGUAACAUAAGAAAAGCUUGCUUUUCUUGAUGACGAGUGGCGGACGGGUGAGUAAGAUUUGGGAAACUACCUGAUAGAGGGGGACAACAGUUGGAAACGACUGCUAAUACCGCAUACAGCCUCAGGGUGAAAGAAGCGAUUCGCUAUCAGAUGUGCCCAAACGGGAUUAGCUAGUAGGUGAGGUAAAGGCUCACCUAGGCGACGAUCUCUAGCUGGUCUGAGAGGAUGAUCAGCCACAUUGGGACUGAGACACGGCCCAGACUCCUACGGGAGGCAGCAGUAGGGAAUAUUGCACAAUGGAGGAAACUCUGAUGCAGCCAUGCCGCGUGUGUGAAGAAGGCCUUCGGGUUGUAAAG
Molecule: ribosomal RNA, 396 nt
Filed under: uncultured bacterium
Lineage: Bacteria
Description: bacterial SSU rRNA
Rfam family: Bacterial small subunit ribosomal RNA
Source: RNAcentral